GAUGCAUCCCCUGAGCACUCACGCUGGGAGGUGGCCGCAGGCCUGCAGAGUGCAGAUGACUAGCCUGGACCCAGGACAACCCGGCCCCACAGGAAGCAGAUGACUGGCCUGGACAACCCGGCCCCACAGGAGACAGACUGCUGGCCAGGACCGCCAGCUGGUCCAACCCUGGCAGAGCUUCUGCUGGCAACUGAGGCCCCACCAAUCACCUUACCUCACUAGACCAGCAGGUACCCUUGGAGGGGGAGCGUGGAAGUGACCCAGGGGUAGUACACCCCUGUUUGGCUGCAACGCUGGAAGAGGGAGAGGAAGUUCUGGUUGUUCCAGGCAGAAGAAGUGCUGAUUGUGCCGGGGGAGGACAGUGGAGAAAAAGUGUGACAGGGGCGUGGUGUAUCUGGAGCUCCAGACAAGAGUGAACAAAUCCUCAUGUAGCAAAGCAGCCAAGAACUAGGCCAAAGUCCAGGAGGGACAGAGCUGCCAGCUGUGUACAUCCAAGGACAGGAGCCAGGAGGAGCACCAUGCCAGGCAGGAAACAUCUGAGAGGGACAAACUGGACCCAGACUCAAUAUCACUGUUGCCCAGAACUGCAUGGGACCAUGAAUACUGGGGCUUGUGAAUUGCAUUGGGAUAAGGAGGUAGGCUGUAGCUAAUUAAGUGGAGAGAUUGUUGCUCUGUGUAGCUUUGCAGAGAGUAGCAGAAGAGGGCACCAGAGGGGUUUGUUGGGGAAAGUUUACUGGUGCCGAAGAUGACCAGGAGCACCCAAGACUCCCUGCUGGACUGGAACUCUAGCUCAGGAUUCCUGAGCUUUAAGUCUAGACACAUUGCUCAACAUCUUUGCUUUUGUAUUGUGAUACCACUAGGCCUGUAAGUCCAUGUCAUGUAGGUGACCCUAUUUUAUCACUCCCCCAAUCUUCUUCUCCUCCUGUUUUUUCUCCAUUCAUCCCUCUGUAAAUAAAUAUUUCCC
This is a long non-coding RNA of Chelonia mydas (Green sea turtle), 964 nucleotides long. RefSeq lists it as uncharacterized. NCBI's taxonomy places the organism in Eukaryota, Metazoa, Chordata, Testudines, Cheloniidae. The record is from RefSeq and is a predicted model, not a curated record. The transcript is spliced from 2 exons.